CAACCCACCUGUAAAUAUGCACGGGCGGGCUGUAAUUAAAUUGCAUAUUAAUUGAGGAAAACAUCAUGGCACUGAGUGCUUCUGAAAAAGCUGCAAUCGUUAAAGAGUACCAACAAGCAGAA
Cellvibrio sp. BR is the source of this 122-nucleotide non-coding RNA. The record is from Rfam. Lineage: Bacteria; Pseudomonadati; Pseudomonadota; Gammaproteobacteria; Cellvibrionales; Cellvibrionaceae.